RNAcentral lists this long non-coding RNA (619 nucleotides) under Ixodes scapularis (black-legged tick). RNAcentral's name for it is "uncharacterized LOC115309021, transcript variant X2". The record is from RNAcentral. Lineage: Eukaryota; Metazoa; Arthropoda; Arachnida; Ixodida; Ixodidae.
UUUUCGGCCCGCCAGUACCGCCGCCGCCGCUGUCUCUGCUGUUCCUGCUGUUAUCCUGCUACCGCGCUCGCUUUUUUCUUUUCGCGAGUGUUAUAUUCACUUUUAAAACUUAAAGAUCAAAAGCGAGCAGACACGAAUGAGCCCCUCUCAAGUCUGUGCAAGCAAGCAAGUGCGAGUCUCGAUUUAGGACCAGUGAUUGACAGCCUCCGGCUCGCCACUAAUCUCCAUUUCAUCGAGCCCAGCUACAAGGAAAUCGGAAGGUCCAUGCGGUGUAGCAAGGGCUGCCCACCACACCAGGGAGUAGCACCUUAGACCAUGCCACUCAGCUACAGAAAUGACCUUGCCAUGCCAGGGACGAACACCUUACACUACACUACUCAGCAACAGGGCCAUACGGUGCAGAGAGGACCUGCCCACACCGGGGAUUGUCACCUUACAGUAUGCCACAUAAUUACAGGGCCAUGAAAAGACAGCUGCAAGAUAACACAGGGCAAGAUGGUUUCCCAAUGCGUAAAGAUUGAACACCAACCUCCGAGAUGAAUCAGAAGAGUAGGGCCACUAGAAGCACCUGUAUGGAUAGGACACGAGUGUAGUAAUAAAACCAUAUUGCCAAUAUAAA